Molecule: ribosomal RNA, 526 nt
Filed under: uncultured bacterium
Lineage: Bacteria
Description: bacterial SSU rRNA
Rfam family: Bacterial small subunit ribosomal RNA
Source: RNAcentral
AGAGUUUGAUCCUGGCUCAGAGUGAACGCUGGCGGCGUAGAUUAGGCAUGCAAGUCGAGCGAUGCCUCUGUUUGAAGCAUUGAAGCCGCAAGGUGGAUGUGCGGAUGACGGGGGACAUAGCGGCAGACUGGUGAGGAAUACGCGAGUAAUCUACCUUUAAGGCGGGGAUAGCUUCGCGAAAGUGGAGGUAAUACCCGAUGUGUUCAUUUUCGCGCGAGCGAAAAUGAGUAAAGGCGCUUCGUAAGAGGUGAUGCUUAAAGAUGAGCUCGUGUCCUAUCAGCUAGUUGGUAGGGUAAUGGCCUACCAAGGCUUUUGACGGGUAGCUGGCCUGAGAGGGUGGUCAGCCACAUGGGGACUGAGACACUGCCCCAACUCCUACGGGAGGCUGCAGUCGAGGAUAUUUAGCAAUGGGCGAAAGCCUGACUAUGUGACGCCGCGUGAGGGAUGAAGGUCUUCGGAUUGUAAACCUCUUUCGAUGGGAAAGAAAACUCCGUUUAAUAAACGGAACUGACGGUACCCAGAGAAG